This 251-nucleotide ribosomal RNA is filed under the name uncultured prokaryote. RNAcentral describes it as "partial 16S rRNA". It matches the Rfam family "Bacterial small subunit ribosomal RNA", at positions 525 to 775 of the family's 1533-position model. The record is from RNAcentral.
ACGUAGGGGGCAAGCGUUAUCCGGAUUUACUGGGUGUAAAGGGAGCGUAGACGGCGGAGCAAGUCUGAAGUGAAAGCCCGGGGCUCAACCCCGGGACUGCUUCGGAAACUGUUCUGCUAGAGUGCUGGAGAGGUAAGUGGAAUUCCUAGUGUAGCGGUGAAAUGCGUAGAUAUUAGGAGGAACACCAGUGGCGAAGGCGGCUUACUGGACAGUAACUGACGUUGAGGCUCGAAAGCGUGGGGAGCAAACAG